RNAcentral lists this non-coding RNA (29 nucleotides) under Homo sapiens (human). Lineage: Eukaryota; Metazoa; Chordata; Mammalia; Primates; Hominidae. The record is from RNAcentral.
UGGGCCUUUAAUAACCUUUUUUGCAGGCU